UUGCGGGGGGUGGAGAUGGUGAAAAUCUCUGGUGUGGAUGGGAGGCGGGAGGGAAUUAUCGUGGGCCGUCGCGGGAUCCAUUUUUUUUUCUUUAAAACAAAAAAAGGACAACUCUCUGCUUCUUCUUCUUUCUUUCUCACUCCGACUAUUUGACUAUUUCUUCCUCUUUUCUUUUAGGACUUUCAUUGGCUCGGCUGGAUUUUAACUUGUUUAGAAUAGGAGCUAUUUAGGAUUUUGUUUUCCUUUUCAACCUAUGAAGAUUGGAUACACA
This 271-nucleotide long non-coding RNA is filed under the name Linum usitatissimum (flax). Its description in RNAcentral is "long non-coding RNA (LUSI_LNC002644)". Lineage: Eukaryota; Viridiplantae; Streptophyta; Magnoliopsida; Malpighiales; Linaceae. The record is from RNAcentral.